CCCUUAGAUGUCCUGGGCCGCACGCGCGCUACACUGAACGGAUCAGCGCGUUUUCCCUUCCCGAGAGGGACGGGUAACCUGCUGAACCCCGUUCGUGGUAGGGAUCGGGGCUUGCAAUUAUUCCCCGUGAACCAGGAAUGCCCAGUAAGUGCAAGUCAUAAGCUUGCGUUGAUUACGUCCCUGCCCUUUGUACACACCGCCCGUCGCACCUACCGAUUGAAUGGUCCGGUGAAAUCUCGGGACGGCGGCUUGGUCGCUUGCGUCCGACUGCUGAAACUUGAUUAAACCAUAUCAUUUAGAGGAAGGUGAAGUCGUANCA
RNAcentral lists this ribosomal RNA (319 nucleotides) under uncultured eukaryote. RNAcentral's name for it is "partial 18S ribosomal RNA". It matches the Rfam family "Eukaryotic small subunit ribosomal RNA", at positions 1470 to 1796 of the family's 1831-position model. The record is from RNAcentral.